AAAGGUGUGACGCAUACCGAACUAAAGUAGGGAAAUGUGUGAGCCAGCUGCCGAGAAAAGCCGCUAUUGUUUGUACUGUACCCGUACCGUAAACCGACACAGGUGGAUGAGGAGAGAAUCCUAAGGCCGACGGAAGAAGCAUUGCUAAGGAACUCGGCAAAAUGACCCUGUAACUUCGGGAGAAAGGGUGCCUCGAAAGAGGCCGCAGGGAAUAGGCCCAAGCAACUGUUUAGCAAAAACACAGGUCUAUGCAAAACCGCAAGGUGAAGUAUAUGGGCUGACGCCUGCCCGGUGCUGGAAGGUUAAGGGGAGAUGUCAGGAGACGAAGCAUCGAACUUAAGCCCCAGUAAACGGCGGCCGUAACAAUAACGGUCCUAAGGUAGCGAAAUUCCUUGUCGGGUAAGUUCCGACCCGCACGAAAGGCGUAAUGAUUUGGGCGCUGUCUCGGCAAUGCAUCCGGUGAAAUUGAAGUGCCAGUGAAGAUGCUGGCUACCCGCGCCAGGACGGAAAGACCCCAUGGAGCUUUACUCCAGCUUGAUACUGGGAUUCGGUAUUGUAUGUACAAUAGGUGGGAGGCUGAGAAAUGGUGACGCCAGUCGCCAUGGAGCCGCUGUUGGGAUACCACCCUUGCAGUACUGGAUUUCUAACCAGCAGCCGUGAUCCGGCUGGGGGACAAUGUCAGGUGGGGAGUUUGACUGGGGCGGUCGCCUCCGAAAGGGUAUCGGAGGCGCUCAAAGGUUCCCUCAGAAUGGUCGGAGACCAUUCGAAGAGUGCAAAGGCAGAAGGGAGCUUGACUGCGACACCGACGGGUGGGGCAGGUACGAAAGUAGGACUUAGUGAUCCGGUGGUAUUAAGUGGGUAUGCCAUCGCUCAACGGAUAAAAGCUACCCUGGGAUAACAGGCUUAUCACUCCCAAGAGUUCACAUCGACGGAGUGGUUUGGCACCUCGAUGUCGGCUCAUCGCAUCCUGGGGCUGUAGUAGGUCCCAAGGGUUGGGCUGUUCGCCCAUUAAGGCGGUACGCGAGCUGGGUUCAGAACGUCGUGAGACAGUUCGGUCCCUAUCCGGCGUGGGCGUAGGAUAUUUGAGAGGAGCUGACCUUAGUACGAGAGGACCGGGUUGGACUGACCUCUGGUGCACCGGUUGUCAUGCCAAUGGCACAGCCGGGUAGCCAAGUCGGGAAGGGAUAAACGCUGAAGGCAUCUAAGCGUGAAGCCCCCCUCAAGAUGAGAUAUCCCCCGCAUAAGCGGUAAGACCCCUUGAAGACGACGAGGUAGAUAGGGCAGAGGUGGAAGUGCAGUAAUGUAUGGAGCUGACUGCUACUAAUAGGUCGAAGGCUC
Molecule: ribosomal RNA, 1338 nt
Filed under: metagenome
Description: bacterial LSU rRNA
Rfam family: Bacterial large subunit ribosomal RNA
Source: RNAcentral